CAAUAGCGUAUAUUAAAGUUGUUGCAGUUAAAAAGCUCGUAGUUGGAUUUGUGGCGUACGGUGUGUUCCGGGCACUUGUUGUCUGAGUAACCUGCUGUUGCCAUCCUUGGGUGGAACCUGUGUGGCAUUAGGUUGUCGUGCAUGGGAUGCCCAUCAUUUACUGUGAAAAAAUUAGAGUGUUCAAAGCAGGCUUAUGCCGUUGAAUAUAUUAGCAUGGAAUAAUGAGAUAGGACUUUUUUGCUAUUUUGUUGGUUUGCGCAAAGAGGUAAUGAUUAAUAGGGACAGUUGGGGGUAUUCGUAUUCCAUUGUCAGAGGUGAAAUUCUUGGAUUUUUGGAAGACGAACUACUGCGAAAGCAUUUACCAAGGAUGUUUUCAUUAA
RNAcentral lists this ribosomal RNA (380 nucleotides) under uncultured eukaryote. RNAcentral describes it as "partial 18S ribosomal RNA". It matches the Rfam family "Eukaryotic small subunit ribosomal RNA", at positions 592 to 976 of the family's 1831-position model. The record is from RNAcentral.